Non-coding RNA from Gossypium hirsutum (cotton), 119 nucleotides. NCBI's taxonomy places the organism in Eukaryota, Viridiplantae, Streptophyta, Magnoliopsida, Malvales, Malvaceae. The record is from Rfam.
GGGUGCGAUCAUACCAGCACUAAUGUACCUUAUCCCAUCAGAACUCCGCAGCUAAGAGUGCAUGGGCGAGAGUAGUACUACGUUUGCUGAACUCCUGCGAAGUCCUUGUGAUGCACCCC